CCAAGAAUUCUUCAUUUCUACAAUUUCCAAACAAAUCACUAGAAAGGGCUAAAUGGGUCAUCGUAAUCUAAGUCAUUAUCAUCAUUUAGAGAAGGAACAACAUCAAUCAGUUGAUGGUCUAUUAAACCUUUUUACUAAAGCUAACCAUGACCUAAACAUAGUUCAAAACAAGCUGGAAAAGGAAUUUCAACAAGUCUACCCUGAUAAUGUUAACCCGAUGAAGCUAGUUUCGAGGAUCAAGAAAGUUGAGGAUGAAAUGUGUAGCUUGAAGGAGCAAUGCCGUGAGUUGCUUGCUGCUAAACAGGAUUUGAUUGAUAAAGCUCGGGCAACCUUAGUUGGGAACAGGUCGUUGCUGCAAAGGUUGCAAUUAUCUGCAGGUGUUCCUGUCAUCAGUGAUUCUGAUGAUCCAUCAUAUGCUAGUUUCAAUCAGGUUUUACUCCGCUUUGUGAUAGGGGGGAAAUUACUGCAUUGACUUCAUCUUGACUGUGGCAAGGUUGCAAAAAUUUCCAAAUGGUGUCUAAAGAUUUGCACCAUUUGCCGGCAAGCAACCAAAAUCUAAUCUGAAGGGCAAAGAUUCCUGAUUUAGUUUCCAUGGCAUUUAAGUGCUUGCUGUGGUCAUUGAUGAAUGGACAACUCAACUCAGAUCAAGAACAGAGGAUGAGAGCCCUGAAUCAGGCGAAGAUAUCAACCAGAUGCUGUUUUCAGCAAUUGUCCAUGACAACUAAGAAGUCAUUCAACCUUUGAAUUGGGAAGAUGCUUGAUGUGGGACCUAGCAUUUGUCUGAUUUUGCAAUUGGUUUCUUGGAUCAUUCUUGUAUCUGUUAGUAGUUCUUUAAUCUUACAUAGAUGUCCUUUCUUGCUACUUCAGGCAGGAAUUAGUAAUAUGAAGUAACUUUCUUUCUGUCACAAGAAGGUAAAAGAUUGUAAUAGAUGAUAGAAUUGUUCGAGCAAGGUGACACUCCUUUCUAAAA
Lycium barbarum (goji berry) is the source of this 970-nucleotide RNA transcript. RefSeq lists it as uncharacterized. The transcript has 6 exons. Lineage: Eukaryota; Viridiplantae; Streptophyta; Magnoliopsida; Solanales; Solanaceae. The record is from RefSeq and is a predicted model, not a curated record.